This is a long non-coding RNA of Phycodurus eques (leafy seadragon), 925 nucleotides long. RefSeq lists it as uncharacterized. The record is from RefSeq and is a predicted model, not a curated record. NCBI's taxonomy places the organism in Eukaryota, Metazoa, Chordata, Actinopteri, Syngnathiformes, Syngnathidae. The transcript has 7 exons.
ACGGGUCACAGGCGUGCUGGCGCCUAUCCCAGCCGUCUCCAGGCGAGAGGCAGGGCACGCCCUGAACUGGUCACCAGCCAAUCGCAGGACAGUGGGAGGAAACCGGAGUACCCGGAGAAAACCCACGCAGGCCCGGGGAGAACACAAACUCCACACAGGGAGGCCGGAUUUGAACCCGGAACCUCAGAACUGUGAAGCAGUCGUCCACCAUUCUGCCUGCACUGGUUGCCGGUGAGCUAGGCCUUUUCCCAUCUGACUUUGAGCAAGAGAUCGUGGCCACCGCGGACUCAUCACCAGCCAAUCGCACAACAAUAACAACAGCCUCAGCGACUCAGAGGCACGUGUUGAAAAAGCCAAUGAAUGACUGGCCAAGAGUAAAAAUGUCCGAGUCAGCAGGAUGGCAUCGCUGUCCAGGCAUAGAGCAGAACCAGACCAGACUGUCUGGGAGAACAUUCAAAGACGCAGUGGGAGCAACAGGAAGAACUUCUCCUGACAGCCUGGAAAAGCAUGUCUUCUGCUCUACAACAGCAGACUUUGCGUGAGGACCCCAGACCUCCAGACUCGGCCCAGUCCUUCCUGUCCAGACAGAGGCAAUCAUCCCGCCGCAAGAGAGCAUUGCAUCCGAGGUAGAGGCCUUCAUCUUCCUCUUGAUACGCAUGGAAGUGAGACAUCCCUUUUGGUUCGAUGCAACACACUUCUUCUUCUGUCUUCUUUUGACCUACUCAUGGACACUAAGGAAAUCAAGCAUGGUCUGUAUUUUUAUGGACGUGUAUUUAUUUCUUUUCCACUGUGGUGUUAUUGCCCUCUGCUGGAAAAUGAUGUAAUUUAUCAUACUUCCUGUCUGCUGUGUUGUUAUGAAAAGAAAUGCACCACAUGCCAUAAAUAAAUUGUUCUAAAACGUAUCGUGGGAAACGAUGCAAAAUGA